This 468-nucleotide ribosomal RNA is filed under the name uncultured bacterium. RNAcentral's name for it is "partial 16S ribosomal RNA". It matches the Rfam family "Bacterial small subunit ribosomal RNA", at positions 28 to 507 of the family's 1533-position model. The record is from RNAcentral.
AACGAACGCUAGCGGCGUGCUUAACACAUGCAAGUCGAACGGAAAGGCCCUGCUUUUGUGGGGUGCUCGAGUGGCGAACGGGUGAGUAACACGUGAGUAACCUGCCCUUGACUUUGGGAUAACUUCAGGAAACUGGGGCUAAUACCGGAUAGGAGCUCCUGCUGCAUGGUGGGGGUUGGAAAGUUUCGGCGGCUGGGGAUGGACUCGCGGCUUAUCAGCUUGUUGGUGGGGUAGUGGCUUACCAAGGCUUUGACGGGUAGCCGGCCUGAGAGGGUGACCGGCCACAUUGGGACUGAGAUACGGCCCAGACUCCUACGGGAGGCAGCAGUGGGGAAUAUUGCACAAUGGGCGGAAGCCUGAUGCAGCAACGCCGCGUGCGGGAUGACGGCCUUCGGGUUGUAAACCGCUUUCGCCUGUGACGAAGCGUGAGUGACGGUAAUGGGUAAAGAAGCACCGGCUAACUACGUG